RNAcentral lists this ribosomal RNA (440 nucleotides) under uncultured bacterium. RNAcentral's name for it is "partial 16S ribosomal RNA". It matches the Rfam family "Bacterial small subunit ribosomal RNA", at positions 338 to 795 of the family's 1533-position model. The record is from RNAcentral.
CCUACGGGAGGCAGCAGUGGGGAAUAUUGCACAAUGGGGGAAACCCUGAUGCAGCGACGCCGCGUGAGUGAAUAAGUAUUUCGGUAUUUAAAGCUCUAUCAGCAGGGAAGAAAAUGACGGUACCUGAUUAAGAAGCCCCGGCUAACUACGUGCCAGCAGCCGCGGUAAUACGUAGGGGGCAAGCGUUAUCCGGAUUUACUGGGUGUAAAGGGAGCGUAGACGGCAGCACAAGUCAGGAGUGAAAUGCCGGGGCUUAACCCCGGAACUGCUUUUGAAACUGUGAAGCUAGAGUACAGGAGAGGUAAGUGGAAUUCGUGGUGUAGCGGUGAAAUGCGUAGAUAUUAGGAGGAACACCAGUGGCGAAGGCGGCUUACUGGACUGUAACUGACGUUGAGGCUCGAAAGCGUGGGGAGCAAACAGGAUUAGAUACCCCAGUAGUC